AGAUGGCUCAGUGGUUAAGAGCACUGACUGUUCUUCCAGAGGUCCAGAGUUCAAUUCGCAGCAACUA
Molecule: transfer RNA, 67 nt
Filed under: Mus musculus (house mouse)
Lineage: Eukaryota; Metazoa; Chordata; Mammalia; Rodentia; Muridae
Description: tRNA-Asn
Source: RNAcentral